This 303-nucleotide ribosomal RNA is filed under the name Ixodorhynchus leptodeirae. RNAcentral's name for it is "SSU rRNA". It matches the Rfam family "Eukaryotic small subunit ribosomal RNA", at positions 543 to 852 of the family's 1831-position model. Lineage: Eukaryota; Metazoa; Arthropoda; Arachnida; Mesostigmata; Ixodorhynchidae. The record is from RNAcentral.
AACUAUUGGAGGGCAAGUCUGGUGCCAGCAGCCGCGGUAAUUCCAGCUCCAAUAGCGUAUAUUAAAAUUGUUGCGUCUAAAAAGCUCGUAGUUUGAAAACUUGCCUUGGCUUACAAUCGGUCCGCAUGGGCCACCGUUUGUUGAGCGCAAAUAUAGAUGACUGUUUUUGCCGACUUAGUUGUUGGGCUUACAAGAGUUAUCAAAUAUCACUUUGAUUAAAUUAGAGUGCUUAAAGCAAGUGUGUUACUUGGAUAUAAAUGCAUGGAAUGAUGGAAUAUGUUGUUGUUCUAUUUGUUGGUUUUG